UGUAGUCAUAUGCUUGUCUCAAAGAUUAAGCCAUGCAUGUCUAAGUAUAAGCAAUUAUACCGCGAAACUGCGAAUGGCUCAUUAAAUCAGUUAUCGUUUAUUUGAUAGUACCUUACUACAUGGAUAACCGUGGUAAUUCUAGAGCUAAUACAUGCUGAAAAUCCCGACUUCGGAAGGGAUGUAUUUAUUAGAUUAAAAACCAAUGCCCUUCGGGGCUCUCUGGUGAUUCAUAAUAACUUCUCGAAUCGCACGGCCUUGUGCCGGCGAUGGUUCAUUCAAAUUUCUGCCCUAUCAACUUUCGACGGCUGGGUCUUGGCCAGCCGUGGUGACAACGGGUAACGGAGGGUUAGGGCUCGACCCCGGAGAAGGAGCCUGAGAAACGGCUACCACAUCCAAGGAAGGCAGCAGGCGCGCAAAUUACCCAAUCCCGACACGGGGAGGUAGUGACAAUAAAUACUGAUACAGGGCUCUUUCGGGUCUCGUAAUUGGAAUGAGUACAAUUUAAAUCCCUUAACGAGGAACAAUUGGAGGGCAAGUCUGGUAAUCG
This 547-nucleotide ribosomal RNA is filed under the name uncultured eukaryote. RNAcentral's name for it is "SSU rRNA". It matches the Rfam family "Eukaryotic small subunit ribosomal RNA", at positions 21 to 570 of the family's 1831-position model. The record is from RNAcentral.